This 459-nucleotide ribosomal RNA is filed under the name uncultured bacterium. Its description in RNAcentral is "partial 16S ribosomal RNA". It matches the Rfam family "Bacterial small subunit ribosomal RNA", at positions 339 to 795 of the family's 1533-position model. The record is from RNAcentral.
CUACGGGUCGCAGCAGUGAGGAAUAUUGGGCAAUGGAGGCAACUCUGACCCAGCCAUGCCGCGUGCAGGAAGACGGCCCUCUGGGUUGUAAACUGCUUUUGUUUGGGAAUAAACCCUUCUACGUGUAGGAGGCUGAAGGUACCUUACGAAUAAGCAUCGGCUAACUCCGUGCCAGCAGCCGCGGUAAUACGGAGGAUGCAAGCGUUAUCCGGAUUUAUUGGGUUUAAAGGGUCCGUAGGCGGGUCUUUAAGUCAGUGGUGAAAGCCCACAGCUCAACUGUGGAACUGCCAUUGAUACUGGAGAUCUUGAGUGUAGUAGAAGUAGGCGGAAUAGGGCAUGUAGCGGUGAAAUGCAUAGAUAUGCCCUAGAACACCGAUUGCGAAGGCAGCUUACUAUGUUACAACUGACGCUGAGGGACGAAAGCGUGGGGAGCAAACAGGAUUAGAUACCCCAGUAGUC